UUACCUCUUAGUUUACUUGUUUCAAGAGACCUGGCUGUGUGUCUUCUUAGAGUUCAAGAUUGGUGAGGCAAUUUCGUUCUAGAAUUGGGUUUGAUGGAAUUCUGUUAUGAUAUUGCAAGGUUUUUUCUUACAGAAUGAUCAGAAUUAGCGGUAACAUUGGAAACAGUGAUCCGAAAUUUUGAAUGCUGGCAAGCUCAUUUUUAAAGGAGAACAAAUGAGGCAUGUUUGAAUUUACCAUGCCACCAAAAUCUUCAUCUCUCACAGUGUUAAUGCUAUGAUCAUAUCACUCCAAAAGCCAUACCACUUGUGGUGUGAUGACGUUGUUCUCCAGACCUUACAUCAGCCGUAAAAGUGUUGGAAGUAUUAGUGAUUGGAGAUAUUGAGGUUUAGGAUAGUAUCAACAACAGUGCAAAGGUUCCUUAAAUGCUUAUCCUCCAAGUGAUGUUCUAUUUGUGAGCAUUCUGUUGACUAGUGCACAAGCAAAUGAUUCUUAGUCACCUCAUCACCUUGAAAAUAUUCUACCUGUCCUACUGCUGGGAUAUUGGCACAUUUCUUGUUGAACUAUUUUUACUGGCACCAGCAGGAUUAGCUGAUUAUCUAAGUUUAUGAUUUCACAAACCGUUUUAUCCGGGGGGCGGAUGGGUGAGUUGGAUAAGGCGUCACUUGGUGAUCGGGGCACCUUGAGAUCCGAGUUCAACUCUCCUGGUGAGCAUAGUUGCUCCCACAUCCGGGCACGCACCACUACACGGACAGUUCACACCUCUUCCUAACACAUCGCCUAACAAGUUCGCAUAUAAAUGAUGGUACUUCCAUCGCCCUCUUCCACACAAAAAAUACACCUUACAACAUUUACACUGCUCAUAUGAAAAAACAGCUCACAACACAAGCCAAACAAUGAACGCUAAAAGCAUCGUCGAGGCGAAAGGGCCAACCGCGCCCAUCACCUGGUGAUAAAUCUGGCCACCAGAUCCCCUCACCAGUGCCUACCAACCAAAAAAAAAAAAAAAAAAACCGUUUUAUCCCUUGGCAAUGUGUUCCGCAUGCAGGAAUUGUCUACUGGCGUUCAACAUCAGUCGACUUGUGGGACUAACGAUGAGAAUAUUAGCACCAGUGAAUUUGAUAUUUUUUGGCCACGUCCCUGCUGUUACUCUUUUAACGUCCAUCACUCGUUUCUUCAUCGAGGAAUGAACAAUUGAUUGCAACAACGACAACAAGAAUAAUAAUUUCGAAGGAUCAGCAACAAAUACAGAAGCAGCAACAUACGGCUCAACAACAUGAAAAACAGCCCUUCGUGAUUCAGCACCCGCAUCUUCAAAACAGCAGCCAGUAGUCAAAUGCACUAGAGGUGAUUCAUCAUACUUCUCGUCCGGACAUGAAUGUUUUGAUGUAUGGUAAACUAAUAUGCCGAUUUCUCGCUUUGAUUUUAUUAUAAAGGAUCGUGCAAAUCGUACAGACGUGAUUCUGGAAAAGUCGGCUCCGAACAAGAUGAUUUUCUUCUCCCAAUCAGAACAACCUUGCGACCUUUUGCCGUUAGUUCAGCAGCAAGUCUAGCUGCAGCAGCAACAACAACAGACGUUGACCUAGCCACAACAUAAGGAAAUGGAAGUAUAGGCCGACUUAGUGGAAACACAACCCACCACCAAUUCCCAAUCUGACUCUGGCUGAAGAUGCCGCGUGAACGCUCAACUGAUUGCCUAAUUCCGAGCCAAACCGCGAACCUCCCCGGUCCGUUUGACCCAUGGCCACCAACAACAUUUGGAGGGCUCCAACAAGGAUACCGCUCCGUUUCGUCGUGAAACCACACCCACAUGGAGAUUAAUCUGAGACGAGCUGGAGGUGUCUUCAAAACGUGGGCGAAAGAAAUUGAAGAAGAGGAAAGCGGAAUGAUUUCUGAUCCUGUUUACGAGGAGAUUGUGAAAGCGUGGCGGUAGCGCUCUCUGUCUGUGACCAACAAAUUCAGGUGCAACGAGGCCCGGCCGUCUUGCACGACCAGCCAGAUCAAAACGAGGAAGAUCGUUGUUAGAACAGCAAUGACGUCAUCCGCGAUUCGUCUCGAUGUUAUGACGACAGUUGGCCAUUGAUUCCCCUCCAACUACAGCAGUACCAUCAUCACCACCAGUUGAGCAGCCAAAGCCAACCAGACAGUGGGACUCACGAUCUUCCGACCACCAUCAGCUGUGCCUUCAAUUCACCACAUUUGAGGACCAAGCACCGGCAUCCGAGUUGGAACCAAUUCGACGCCGCUGUUCCACAUUCGCAUCCGCCGCCCUUUCACAUGGGUUUUGAAGGGGCGCCGCAUUUCGACGCCGAUCGCUACAGCCAGCGACCAGGCCAGCAGCCGCACUCGAAUAUGUACCCGUAUGAACAAGAGACGGGCCUUACUGCACUCAUUUUUAUGAACAGUGAGCGCAUUUUUGUGGCCAGCGGGGUUGUGCUGGAACAGCAACGGAGUCCUGACCUUCAACAGAUACCCACUCUCCCAUUUACCAAGUGCUGAACAUGUUUGCAAAAAGACGAAGAAGAUGAAGAAAAAAAAGAUAGAGGUCAGAAUGAGAGGAAGAAGAUGUUUGCCAUAAGCAGAAAUGAUUUCCCUAGAAAAAAAAACUUUUCAUCAAACAAAAAAUUUAAAGACGGCCCUGCUAACUUGUAAUGUUUUCGUGUAAAAUCACUAAAAUGUCGAUUGCGACGUGCAUGUGUCUAUGUUUAGGUGGGCGCUGUUCGGCUUUGAUAAAUAUGGCGGUUUUUUUUUUGUAUGUUUCUUUCGUUCUUUUUUGUACGAAAUUCUGGAUAAUUUGUUUGUGUCUUUUGUGUGUGGCAAAUACACAACUUGGUCUGAACUAUAA
RNAcentral lists this long non-coding RNA (2843 nucleotides) under Daphnia magna. RNAcentral describes it as "uncharacterized LOC123473846". The record is from RNAcentral. Lineage: Eukaryota; Metazoa; Arthropoda; Branchiopoda; Diplostraca; Daphniidae.